Rhincodon typus (whale shark) is the source of this 708-nucleotide long non-coding RNA. RefSeq lists it as uncharacterized. The transcript has 3 exons. The record is from RefSeq and is a predicted model, not a curated record. NCBI's taxonomy places the organism in Eukaryota, Metazoa, Chordata, Chondrichthyes, Orectolobiformes, Rhincodontidae.
UGCCUUCCUGCGACUCGCAACAUCUCGCCUUUAAGAGAAAUAACGGAAGCCGCGGCCGUUUCUGAGCCUUAGAAAUAAUCAUGCUGUUUGACAGAAUCCCACAAGCCAAUCUCUGAAUAAGGAGCUUGGGGAGAAGGAAACACUAUAAACAAUGAACGAAAUCAGUCAGCUUGAAAGUAACUGCUUUAUCACAGGGUGCCAGACCAGCCUAUUAAGUGAACCCGAUGAUUAAACAAGGCUUCUGGAUUAAUAAGCCUUCCCCUGCAAACUACGGACGGCAGAUCAAGACCUGUUUUUGCAUUCGACGAAGGAUCAGAUAAAUGGGAGCCAGCUUGCUCUGAUAAGGCCUUGCUCUGGGCAUUGCCUCUCUCUGAAAGCCGUUUACUAUGCAUAGAGUCAGGCUAUCUGUGUUGCUGCACCUUGACAUGAAUUUAUCUGCACCAGAGACGAGAGAAUCCUGCAGAAAUUAUUGAAGUGGGAUUUGAUCUUGGGAGGCAAGCGUGUCAAUUUUCCACCAUUUUUUAAUUUUUCAUAUGGGCUUCUGGGACUGCAUACCGUUUGCAUAUUUCUAUUAAAAUCAAGAGCCAUGCAUAUCGGUUUUUUCUAUAGUUAGAAAAGACUUGCAAUCUGAAAUUGCAUGCAGAUAUGUAAACUUAAUUAAUCUGAUCACUUUAACUGCAGAUACACAUAAAAACUUUAUUAAACAAA